RNAcentral lists this ribosomal RNA (429 nucleotides) under Chloroflexota bacterium. RNAcentral describes it as "Chloroflexi bacterium partial 16S ribosomal RNA". It matches the Rfam family "Bacterial small subunit ribosomal RNA", at positions 355 to 776 of the family's 1533-position model. Lineage: Bacteria; Bacillati; Chloroflexota. The record is from RNAcentral.
UAGGGAAUCUUCGGCAAUGGACGAAAGUCUGACCGAGCAACGCCGCGUGAGUGAAGAAGGUUUUCGGAUCGUAAAACUCUUUUGUUAGAGAAGAACAAUGACGUUAGUAACUGAACGUCCCCUGACGGUAUCUAACCAGAAAGCCACGGCUAACUACGUGCCAGCAGCCGCGGUAAUACGUAGGUGGCAAGCGUUGUCCGGAUUUAUUGGGCGUAAAGCGGGCGCAGGCGGUUUCUUAAGUCUGAUGUGAAAGCCCCCGGCUCAACCGGGGAGGGUCAUUGGAAACUGGGAGACUUGAGUGCAGAAGAGGAGAGUGGAAUUCCAUGUGUAGCGGUGAAAUGCGUAGAUAUAUGGAGGAACACCAGUGGCGAAGGCGGCUCUCUGGUCUGUAACUGACGCUGAGGCUCGAAAGCGUGGGGAGCAAACAGG